UCAGACAACAUCAGUCCCAUCACCCACCCGGGUUUCCGCCAUACCCUCAUUUGCAUAAACAGGAGUCAUUUAUGAAUAAUGAAUGUACGUGCAUUCAGCAGGAGCCGCUAAUUUGCAUAUCACCGAGGCAGCCGUUUGAUUUCCUAGCCUGGGCUGUUGUUGUCUUUACCUCACAGCCAGCCUGCAUUAACCGUCCCCAUGCAAAGAACUAAAGCUCGACCAGCAUUAUUACCUUCAGACACUCAGACUGUUGACUCCGCCCCCCAGCUUGUGAUCACGGCGAGGAAUGGGCGGAGUUUUCUUUCAUCUCAAUGUCAGUCCUUUUCACCUCCACGGGCGAUUUAAUGAGGACCCCGGGAUGCCAGACAGUGCUGAAUACCGAGCGUCUGUGCGCGGGCGGGCCCUGGCAACCGCUCCCCCCGGCCCCGACAUGCAACAGCACACCUUGAGUGCGCUCCUCGGGUCCAGGACUUGGACCAGGCAGACGCACCAGACAGGCCUCUGAAGGACCGAGUCCCCUCGAUGUCGGAAAGAAAUCAGACAGGCAUUAGUGGAAGGGUGCAUGUGCGCGUUGUUUUCUUUAUUUGACACAUCCUUCCUCCUCUGCUCUAUAUGCCAGCGCAGAUAAUGGCGUCAUUUAAAGCAGCCAUGCAUUGUGCACGCUGACUGAUGGUUGCUUUUCUUGCUUAAUAUGCGCCCGCCACCACCGGAUAAUAGUCUUUUUGUCGCAAGAAUAAAAGACAUGCCUUCAAAAGGAACCGGGCAUUUUCAUGUUAUACUCUCUAAUGUGCUAAAAGUGAUAGAUAAUUCCCUCCUUUCAUUAGAAGCUAAAUUGAUAAUGAUGAAAGUCUGCUUCAUUCUUUUUUUCUAUUCCAGGAUGAAUUAUUGCGACAGGGAAAAAAAAAGUCUUCUCAGUUAAUGGCAAUAGGGAGAAAAAAAGACAUUCUUUCACAUUGAGUCUGGUCCCCAGCAGACCACUUGAGCUAUAUGUUCGGCUAAAUUGAGGGGCCCUCCCCAGUGUGUAGGGCCCGCUUCCCCAGGGGACUCAUUGGGGAUGACUCUGGUGACCUUGCGCAGUGGUCAGCUUGAGAGGUCAGGGGUCAUCUAAAUGAAUUACCCCAAAAGAUGGUGUCUGUGAGUUUGCACAUAUUCCACUAAAGAUGUCUAUUUUAUUUCAAUGCAUUAUUUCACUUUAUAGGGCAAGGAACCAUAUUUUGUAAUCGGGUAAAUUGUCUCACAAUCAAGAUGAAAAAUCAUGUGAUUUCUAUUCAUAAAUGAAUACUAUUA
Nerophis lumbriciformis (worm pipefish) is the source of this 1287-nucleotide non-coding RNA. The record is from RefSeq and is a predicted model, not a curated record. Lineage: Eukaryota; Metazoa; Chordata; Actinopteri; Syngnathiformes; Syngnathidae.